UUCCGGUUGAUCCUGCCGGACCCCACUGCUAUCGGGAUGGGACUAAGACAUGCUAGUCGUGCGCCUCCAAGCCACGGUGGAGGCGCGGCGCACAGCUCAGUAACACGUGGCUAACCUACCCUUGGGACGGAAACAACCCCGGGAAACUGGGGCUAAUUUCCGAUAGGUGAAGACUCCUGGAAUGGACCUUCGCCAAAAGGGCGCUUAGACCAUGCUUCUAAGCGCUGCCCAAGGAUGGGGCCGCGGCCGAUCAGGUUGUUGGUGAGGUAACGGCUCACCAAGCCUAUAACCGGUUCGGGCCGUGGGAGCGGGAGCCCGGAGAUGGGCACUGAGACAAGGGCCCAGGCCCUACGGGGCGCAGCAGUCGCGAAAACUCCGCAAUACGCGAAGGCGUGACGGGGCCAUCCCGAGUGCCGUCCGCUGAGGAUGGCUUUUCCCCAGUGUAGAUAGCUGGGGGAAUAAGGAGAGGGCAAGUCUGGUGUCAGCCGCCGCGGUAAUACCAGCUCUCCGAGUGGUGGGGACGUUUAUUGGGCUUAAAGCAUCCGUAGCCGGCUGGGCAAGUCCCCUGUUAAAUCUAACGAUUCAAUCGUUGGAUUGCGGGGGAUACUGCUCGGCUAGGGGGCGGGAGAGGCCGACGGUAUUCCCGGGGUAGGGGUGAAGUCCUAUAAUCCCGGGAGGACCACCAGUGGCGAAGGCUGUCGGCUAGAACGCGCCCGACGGUGAGGGAUGAAAGCUUGGGGGAGCGAACCGGAUUAGAUACCCGGGUAGUCCCAGCUGUAACGAUGCAGGCUAGUGUUUCGGGCGGCCACGUGCCGCUCGAGUGCCGCAAGGAAACCGUUUA
Molecule: ribosomal RNA, 841 nt
Filed under: uncultured archaeon
Lineage: Archaea
Description: bacterial SSU rRNA
Rfam family: Archaeal small subunit ribosomal RNA
Source: RNAcentral